This 1044-nucleotide small RNA is filed under the name uncultured Pelagibacterales bacterium. RNAcentral describes it as "bacterial SSU rRNA". The stretch from base 1 to 658 matches the Rfam family "Bacterial small subunit ribosomal RNA", at positions 867 to 1533 of the family's 1533-position model. The record is from RNAcentral. Lineage: Bacteria; Pseudomonadati; Pseudomonadota; Alphaproteobacteria; Candidatus Pelagibacterales.
CACCGCCUGGGGAGUACGACCGCAAGGUUAAAACUCAAAUGAAUUGACGGGGACCCGCACAAGUAGUGGAGCAUGUGGUUUAAUUCGAAGAUACGCGCAGAACCUUACCAACACUUGACAUGUUCGUCGCGACUUUAAGAGAUUAAAGUUUUCGGUUCGGCCGGACGAAACACAGGUGCUGCAUGGCUGUCGUCAGCUCGUGUCGUGAGAUGUUGGGUUAAGUCCCGCAACGAGCGCAACCCUCACUUUUAGUUGCCAUCAUUAAGUUGGGCACUCUGAAAGAACUGCCAGUGAUAAGCUGGAGGAAGGUGGGGAUGACGUCAAGUCCUCAUGGCCCUUACGUGUUGGGCUACACACGUGCUACAAUGGUAUCUACAACAGGAAGCAAGACGGCGACGUUAAGCAAAUCCUUAAAAGAUACCUCAGUUCGGAUUGCACUCUGCAACUCGAGUGCAUGAAGCUGGAAUUACUAGUAAUCGUGGAUCAGCGUGCCACGGUGAAUGCGUUCCCGGGUCUUGUACACACCGCCCGUCACACCAUGGGAGUUGGUUCUACCUUAAGGCAAGGUUUUAAACCCUUGACCACGGUAUAGUCAGCGACUGGGGUGAAGUCGUAACAAGGUAGCCGUAGGGGAACCUGCGGCUGGAUUACCUCCUUUCUAAGGAUGAAUGAAAGUAAAAUUUUGUUCUAAAUAAUAUACAGGUAAUGUUGACCGUCCUCAUUUCUCUUCUUAAAAUAGUGUUUCUCUUGCAUGGGGGCCGGUAGCUCAGUUGGUUAGAGCACACCCUUGAUAAGGGUGGGGUCGAAAGUUCGAGUCUUUCUCGGCCCACCAAAAUAAGAUCAUGGGGGAUUAGCUCAGCUGGGAGAGCGCCUGAUUUGCAUUCAGGAGGUCAGCGGUUCGAUCCCGCUAUCCUCCACCAAAACACUUAGUUAUAGAAAAUCGUAAAAAAUAAAUUAUUAAUAUCAAUAUCUAUAUCCGAACAUUAGAAAUGUUAUUAGCUAAUGUUUAAAUAAAAAUUUGAUUCAACACAGAAUUUUUUUCUG